UACGGCGAUAACACGCUAAAACACCAAUUCCCGUCCGAUCACCGAAGUUAAGCAACGUCGAGCCUGGUCAAUACCUUAAUGGAUGACCGUUUGGGAAUACCAAGUGCU
Non-coding RNA from Acanthosepion pharaonis, 108 nucleotides. The record is from the annotation of a GenBank genome assembly. Lineage: Eukaryota; Metazoa; Mollusca; Cephalopoda; Sepiida; Sepiidae.